AGGACGAACGCUGGCGGCGUGCUUAACACAUGCAAGUCACGGGGGUCCCGCAAGGGAUAACCGGCGAACGGGUGCGUAACACGUGAGCAACCUGCCUUUGUGUGGGGGAUAGCCGGGCUAACGCCCGGGUAAUACCGCAUACGGUCACCGAGAGGAGUCUCUUGGUGAAGAAACCCUUCGGGGGCACGGAGAGGGGCUCGCGGCCUAUCAGCUAGUUGGGGGGGUAAUGGCCCACCAAGGCGACGACGGGUAGCU
RNAcentral lists this ribosomal RNA (255 nucleotides) under uncultured soil bacterium. RNAcentral describes it as "partial 16S ribosomal RNA". It matches the Rfam family "Bacterial small subunit ribosomal RNA", at positions 26 to 288 of the family's 1533-position model. The record is from RNAcentral.